This is a long non-coding RNA of Entelurus aequoreus (snake pipefish), 1438 nucleotides long. RefSeq lists it as uncharacterized. NCBI's taxonomy places the organism in Eukaryota, Metazoa, Chordata, Actinopteri, Syngnathiformes, Syngnathidae. The transcript has 4 exons. The record is from RefSeq and is a predicted model, not a curated record.
GUGUGUGUGUUUGUGUGUGUGUGUGUGUGUGUGUGUGUUUGUUCAUGUGUGGGUAUUCUUCUCUUCUUCUAUCUUUGUUUUUUUUUGUCUUGUUUUGUUUAUGUUUUGUUUUGUACAGUAUUUGUGUUUGCCAUUUUCCUGCGAAUGAAAUGUGUUUUGAAAAUAAAGUUUGAUAUGAUUUGAUGAUCCCACAUGAUAGCUUUGAUUUUCUUCUCAAUGUUACCAUGUUUUAUAGCAUUUCCUGUCCUACUGUUCCUAUGUUGGUUCUACUUCCUGUUGGAUUGCCUGUUUUCCUGCACCUUCACUUUCUGUUUUGUUCCCUGCCAGCACACCUGUUUUCCAUUAGGAAUUCCAGCCUAUUUAGUCUCACCUGUUGCUCCUUUCUGGAUCAUUGUUCUUUGUGCCUUGAAGAGCAUUUGUUUUCUGUGCACUUCCAUGCUGCACUAGAUUUUUUUGCCUUGCCUUGUUCUUUACCCGUAUAAAAAGGGCUUUAACUUGCACCCAGCCUUCCUUGCUCCCAUCCUGUGGUCUAGCCCAACAACGCCAACCAGAGAACAUGCUGCUGGGUAAUGCUUCACCUGCCGUAAAAAUACAGAAGGUUACAGUGAAGAAAGAAGAAGAUCGCUAAAAGAGCUUGCGGCCAAACAAACAUGACAGUGCAUCUACGGGAGCAUCGCAAAAUCCAAGGGGCCCUAUUCUCCCAUGUGCCUAAGUGAAAAAUGGUGCAUUGAUUCUGGCUGCGUGGCAUUCCCCCACUCCAUCUACAUCAGUGAUGUUGUGGAAUGGGAAAAUAUCGACCCCUGGAUGGCCCGUUAUUGACAAGUGGGUGGAUUUCAGGAAGUGACCUUGACUGGCUAAAAGGAGCACCUGACCAACGGCUGGCUCCAUUUCCCACAGUCAAGCGUAUCUGCGGUGACACCCGUCCCCCUGGAAGCACACUAAAAGACUUGGUAAACAUAUCUUAGGGGAUGCUUCAUUUCUUGAUACGGCUGCAUACAUAUUUGGGGAGUUGGAGUGGCGUUGAUUGUAAUUGAAGCAGAUAGAUGGAAUUCAUCCGUGACAGACAAGGGACCCUAUAAAGACUGGGCACUUUUUUACCCAGAAAAACAAUCUGGUCUAUACUCUUCAGUACAAUGACGGCAGCACUUAGAAACUAACAGGUGAGCAGGCGCAUGUCACAGUAUACUGAUGGACAAACUCUUCAGGUCAAGACUCAGCUGUCUACAGGAACCCCAAAGAGAAAUAGCACUCUCUUGUGGACAACUAUGUAGAGAAGGUUAGAAAGAGAGUGAGGGAGAAGGGAAACCAUAUCUGAACAGAGGGGUAAUAUCUCCCAAACAUGUCAUUUCAACUCCUCCUAAGCAAUUGAAUAAUUUAGCAUCCAACAAAUAACAUGCAAGUCGUGGGCACUUUUGGUUUCAGGUACGCUCUUGACCAU